CUUUUUAUUGACCACUUCUCAUUGCGCCACAUGGCUUGAUAAUUUAAUGACACGAUUACAUUUAAAAAAAAUCAAAAAUUGUAUCCAUUCAAUUGACUAAUUAAAUAAACCGUUUCAGUGAAAUUUUAAAUACGUUUGUGUUCAAUUUGCCUAUAUAAAUUAGAGACACACUGUUCUGUCUGAAGAUUAUUUCCCAUCGACAACUCCAAAACAAUUUCUACAAACGUAGAUGAUGAAAAUUCUUAGCCCCCAAGCCCCGUCAACCAGCCUAUUGCCACCGCCAACCAGUGAAACGGCUACAGUUGGUUCUAGGCAGCCCAACAUGCAAGGACAUGGUCUUCUACUCCUCUUUAUUACACAUCUAGACGACAUCGUUUACUCUCUCGACAGCAUCUUGGUUUUUUAUUUAGUAUGUAUGUAAAGUUGACUUAUAUGUAUCCUUCUCAAUUGCAUUACACACGUUAUGUACAAUUUUGAAGCAAGUCACAUAGUUUAUUAUUAUUAUUAUUAUUAUUGAAAAAUUUGAUGCAAA
This is a long non-coding RNA of Quercus robur (English oak), 532 nucleotides long. RefSeq lists it as uncharacterized. NCBI's taxonomy places the organism in Eukaryota, Viridiplantae, Streptophyta, Magnoliopsida, Fagales, Fagaceae. The transcript has 2 exons. The record is from RefSeq and is a predicted model, not a curated record.